UUGAUUCGCCCCAGAUGGUAGAGUAUCUGCCUUUUAAGCAGAGAGUAGCGCGUUCAAAUCGUGCACAGCCCA
RNAcentral lists this transfer RNA (72 nucleotides) under Desulfobacteraceae bacterium. RNAcentral describes it as "tRNA-Lys". Lineage: Bacteria; Pseudomonadati; Thermodesulfobacteriota; Desulfobacteria; Desulfobacterales; Desulfobacteraceae. The record is from RNAcentral.